ACAGGUCUGUGAUGCCCUUAGA
RNAcentral lists this non-coding RNA (22 nucleotides) under Mus musculus (house mouse). RNAcentral also lists the same sequence under 1 other name. Lineage: Eukaryota; Metazoa; Chordata; Mammalia; Rodentia; Muridae. The record is from RNAcentral.